UACGUAGGGUGCGAGCGUUAAUCGGAAUUACUGGGCGUAAAGUGUGCGCAGGUGGCCGCGCAAGUCGAGUGUGAAAUCCCCGAGCUUAACUUGGGAAUUGCGCUCGAAACUACCUGGCUCGAGUGUGGCAGAGGAAGGUGGAAUUCCACGUGUAGCGGUGAAAUGCGUAGAGAUGUGGAGGAACACCGAUGGCGAAGGCAGCCUUCUGGGCCAACACUGACGCUCAUGCACGAAAGCGUGGGGAGCAAACAGG
This 253-nucleotide ribosomal RNA is filed under the name uncultured bacterium. Its description in RNAcentral is "partial 16S ribosomal RNA". It matches the Rfam family "Bacterial small subunit ribosomal RNA", at positions 524 to 776 of the family's 1533-position model. The record is from RNAcentral.